Molecule: ribosomal RNA, 253 nt
Filed under: Rugosimonospora acidiphila
Lineage: Bacteria; Bacillati; Actinomycetota; Actinomycetes; Micromonosporales; Micromonosporaceae
Also listed under: 3 other names
Description: partial 16S ribosomal RNA
Rfam family: Bacterial small subunit ribosomal RNA
Source: RNAcentral
GACGUAGGGCGCGAGCGUUGUCCGGAUUUAUUGGGCGUAAAGAGCUCGUAGGCGGCUUGUUGCGUCGACCGUGAAAACCCGGGGCUCAACUUCGGGCUUGCGGUCGAUACGGGCGGGCUAGAGUUCGGUAGGGGAGACUGGAAUUCCUGGUGUAGCGGUGAAAUGCGCAGAUAUCAGGAGGAACACCGGUGGCGAAGGCGGGUCUCUGGGCCGAUACUGACGCUGAGGAGCGAAAGCGUGGGGAGCGAACAGG